GACGAACGCUGGCGGCGCGCCUAACACAUGCAAGUCGAACGAGCGAGAGAGAGCUUGCUUUCUCGAGCGAGUGGCGAACGGGUGAGUAACGCGUGAGGAACCUGCCUCAAAGAGGGGGACAACAGUUGGAAACGACUGCUAAUACCGCAUAAGCCCACAGGUCGGCAUCGACCAGAGGGAAAAGGAGCAAUCCGCUUUGAGAUGGCCUCGCGUCCGAUUAGCUAGUUGGUGAGGUAACGGCCCACCAAGGCGACGAUCGGUAGCCGGACUGAGAGGUUGAACGGCCACAUUGGGACUGAGACACGGCCCAGACUCCUACGGGAGGCAGCAGUGGGGAAUAUUGCACAAUGGGGGAAACCCUGAUGCAGCGACGCCGCGUGGAGGAAGAAGGUCUUCGGAUUGUAAACUCCUGUUGUUGAGGAAGAUAAUGACGGUACUCAACAAGGAAGUGACGGCUA
RNAcentral lists this ribosomal RNA (458 nucleotides) under uncultured bacterium. Its description in RNAcentral is "bacterial SSU rRNA". It matches the Rfam family "Bacterial small subunit ribosomal RNA", at positions 28 to 499 of the family's 1533-position model. The record is from RNAcentral.